GUUACGCCGGUAGCAACGUACCUGGUGGUGCUCUUAAAGAAGUUGUUGCUUUCACGGUUCAUUAGCUCGCUACGGAACCGUGACAUCUCGUCCUCCAUCUUUCUCAUCUCGGCGUCGAACCGUUCCCGUAUGUUCGAAAACUCGGUGUCGAUCACGCUGAAGUCACCGAGCUUGAUGGGAAUAUUACGCUUGAUACCACUGUCAGCCAUGAUUCUCUUCUCUUCGACCGCACUCGUGUCUCUUUCACCAAGCCACUAAAGAGGUAUAAUAAUAAGCACUGCUCUCGCUCUUGCUCUCUCUCUCUCUCUCUUUUCCUCUUCCCCUUCUCUAUCCUGGUUCUCUUCUAUCUCUAUCUAGCUGCCUGUUUCGCGAACGAUCGCUUCUUAUGAUAGCGAGAUACUUGAAGCCACGUAUAGAACCGUACUGUGCGAUGCCUCGCCUAAGAAUGAGCGCGGCUCACCGGCUGCUCCUUAAAUAGUCCCGACGCAAUCGUCGAACGGCUCGUGGGAGUUCGCCGGCGCUCGGCCGUCCUCGGGCAACCUCGCGGCCGUGCACGCGGUCCAAACCGGCCCCGGCGCUUCAGCCGCGUUUCGUUGGCUCUGCGCGAAAUUUUGUUUCAUGGAAUUAAAUAUGUAUUUCUGACUUGCUGGACGAACGCGGCGAACGAGUGCGUGCACCUCCCGCGAAUAACGAAAGCAUGGAGGGUAGCAUCUGUGGAGAUCGUAAUAAAACAUAACGAAGAUCUCCGUCGGCAACUGGGUCACCACGGUAAUUCAGGUCCAAUCAUUUUCUUCGCGGACGUUGCUGCCUCCAGAAAGCCCCUGAUGCGCUGUGUAAUCUAAUUAACCGAUUGAUAUCGUGGAAAUUUGAUUGCCCGUGAUUAAGUCCUGUUAACGGAUUCCAACGGCUAACAGGCUAUGUCGGGUGCAUACGUGUAUUCAUCUUCGUGGGAGACAAUCAAUAAGGAAAUGAUCGCGCGGCGUAUUAGUCAUCGUCUCCCGCGCAAAGCACAAUGCUUCCUCGUGCCUACGAAAUCGUAACCAACGUACGCCCACGAAUUCUUCUUGUCGGAGAUCACUUAUUUAUCUAGGAUGCCCGUAGGCUUGCGUACACUUCCGAACAGCUUGACCCGCAUUAAAUCAAGCUGCAAAUGAUGCCGACGCUAUUUUCGACGGUUGCAGCGUCACCGCGCGCCGAACUGAAUGGAGCGCCGCGUCACGACCGCCUCCUUAUUGUUCAUAAAUAGUCCUGCCGCCCGGCGUCCGUCCAUGAUUUCCGGUGAAUCAAACCGCGCGGAAUCAUUCCGCGCGUCGUACCGCGACCGGGGGUGGCGGAUGCCAGCAGGGGCUGAAUCACCCUUGCAGCUCGGAAUGGAUGAAUAACAAUCACCGCUCUGUACCGCGGCUUCUCUGCUCUGCCACGCGCCGACAAUUUCGACACGUAACUCGGCCGAGGAUUCUCGAAACAAUGGUCAUCUGCAUUCUUCUGCGUAGGGUAAUUCUGGACGAGAUGACUCUGCGGCGGUACACCGAAUCUUGCGCAAAGGCCUCAAUUGAUCGAAAAUAUUAGGAGUCAGGAAGCGAAGCUAGCCUUCGAGCGAUCUCCCUGAAGAACCGACUUUCAUGAUUACAUAUACAUUUCAGUUAAGUAUUAACGGUAUUUACGAUGCGAUAGCACCUUCAGAAGUGGGUCAUCCCUCUGCGAUUUACCUUAUCGGCGACGCGCGCUCGAAAGGUGUUUAUGUAUCAGUGUCCUGGGAAACGUGUACU
Long non-coding RNA from Nomia melanderi (Alkali bee), 1769 nucleotides. RefSeq lists it as uncharacterized. Lineage: Eukaryota; Metazoa; Arthropoda; Insecta; Hymenoptera; Halictidae. The record is from RefSeq and is a predicted model, not a curated record.